RNAcentral lists this ribosomal RNA (439 nucleotides) under Pseudomonas sp. IIb_D. RNAcentral describes it as "bacterial SSU rRNA". It matches the Rfam family "Bacterial small subunit ribosomal RNA", at positions 49 to 490 of the family's 1533-position model. The record is from RNAcentral. Lineage: Bacteria; Pseudomonadati; Pseudomonadota; Gammaproteobacteria; Pseudomonadales; Pseudomonadaceae.
CUACACAUGCAGUCGAGCGGUAGAGAGAGCUUGCUUCUCUUGAGAGCGGCGGACGGGUGAGUAAUGCCUAGGAAUCUGCCUGGUAGUGGGGGAUAACGUUCGGAAACGGACGCUAAUACCGCAUACGUCCUACGGGAGAAAGCAGGGGACCUUCGGGCCUUGCGCUAUCAGAUGAGCCUAGGUCGGAUUAGCUAGUUGGUGAGGUAAUGGCUCACCAAGGCGACGAUCCGUAACUGGUCUGAGAGGAUGAUCAGUCACACUGGAACUGAGACACGGUCCAGACUCCUACGGGAGGCAGCAGUGGGGAAUAUUGGACAAUGGGCGAAAGCCUGAUCCAGCCAUGCCGCGUGUGUGAAGAAGGUCUUCGGAUUGUAAAGCACUUUAAGUUGGGAGGAAGGGCAGUAAAUUAAUACUUGCUGUUUUGACGUACCGCAGAUAG